Molecule: ribosomal RNA, 497 nt
Filed under: uncultured bacterium
Lineage: Bacteria
Description: partial 16S ribosomal RNA
Rfam family: Bacterial small subunit ribosomal RNA
Source: RNAcentral
GAUGAACGCUGGCGGCGUGCCUAAUACAUGCAAGUCGAGCGAACAGACGAGGAGUUUGCUCCUCUGACGUUAGCGGCGGACGGGUGAGUAACACGUGGAUAACCUUCCUAUAAGACUGGGAUAACUUCGGGAAACCGGAGUUAAUACCGGAUAAUAUAUUGAACCGCAUGGUUCAAUAGUGAAAGACGGUUUUGCUGUAACUUAUAGAUGGACCCGCGCCGCAUUAGCUAGUUGGUAAGGUAACGGCGUACCAAGGCAACGAUGCGUAGCCGACCUGAGAGGGUGAUCAGCCACACUGGAAGUGAGACACGGUCCAGGCUCCUUCGGGAGGCAGCAGUAGGGAAUCUUCCGCAAUGGGCGAAAGCCUGACGGAGCAGCGCCGCGUGAGUGAUGAAGGUCUUCGGUUCGUAAAACUCUGUUAUUAGGGAAGAACAAAUGUGUAAGUAACUAUGCACGUCUUGACGGUACCUAAUCAGAAAGCCACGGCUAACUACGUG